GGAGAGGUACCGAAGCGGUCAUAACGGCGCCGACUCGAAAUCGGAUGGGGAGCAUUGCUCCCACGAGGGUUCGAAUCCCUCCCUCUCCG
Gammaproteobacteria bacterium is the source of this 89-nucleotide non-coding RNA. The record is from Rfam. NCBI's taxonomy places the organism in Bacteria, Pseudomonadati, Pseudomonadota, Gammaproteobacteria.